UAAGAGUAUACACCUCGAAAAUGUGGAUUACUAUACCAGCGACUUCUUAUCAUUCCCAAGGGAGUUGUGAUAUUAAACGUUCAGCAGUUUAUUAGCAGUCACUGCCCAGUUCAGAUUGAACUGGCCAGUUCGUUCAGCAGUGACUCGCCAGUCGCUGUGCCUAUUUCGUCAGAUUUUUGACACAGUCACUGCCCAAGGACUGUGGAAUUAGACUUGAAAAUAGAACUAAUGACAAUUGUGCGUUGGUUACUAUUUUUAGGAUUAGAAAUUAAUAAAAAGGACUAAGAAUCUAAAGAAA
Molecule: long non-coding RNA, 298 nt
Organism: Nasonia vitripennis (jewel wasp)
Lineage: Eukaryota; Metazoa; Arthropoda; Insecta; Hymenoptera; Pteromalidae
Exons: 2
Source: RefSeq, a predicted model, not a curated record